Molecule: long non-coding RNA, 1476 nt
Filed under: Numida meleagris (helmeted guineafowl)
Lineage: Eukaryota; Metazoa; Chordata; Aves; Galliformes; Numididae
Description: lncRNA (ENSNMEG00000017897.1)
Source: RNAcentral
GUGAUGGCAACUUGUUGGAGAUCACUGUAUACCUGAGGUCUUCUAAAGGUAAGUAGCCUUUUUUCCUUUGUUUUUGCGUCCAUGGUUGCUGCAUUUGGGCUUCUCUGUUUGCUGUAGCUAAAGACUUUGCUAUCCUGCUAUUACUGCUGUAUUUUUCAUCACGUUAUAGCAUUACACUAUGAAAUGCUUGGCCUCUCCACUUUGUUAUGUUGGAGCUGCAAGACUCUCCCUGGCUUGAAUCAAGAUUAGGUGUCAAUUCUGAGCAAGGAAUUCUUAUGCUGCAUGACAGCAGAUGACCCUGCCUUUUGCAUGGGUCCUUUGUACAGCCAUGGGCUGGCCCAUGCUGGAGAAGACCCCAGGAGAUGGGCUGUACCAGUCUUGCAGUUCUAGAGCCAUGCCUGUCUAAUAGGCACAGAUUCUUCUGUGUCCUGGUCCCAUCUCGUCUGAUGACAGCAACAGAUGUGCCACGUGGAUCAGACAUGGGCUGCUCGUUGUGCAGGGAGGAGCAGGGAGACAAUGCCCAUCACCUGAAAUGCAGAGUGGGAGGGCUGCAGGGUGCUGAGCAUUUCCUAUCCCUUGCAUGUUUUCUCUUAGAUGUGAUGUCUGAUGUGAUCGAUUCAGCUCUUCCUCUACAGAUUAGUAUAAAGAAACACAAAAAUCUUCUCUGAGUACCUUGAUAACACCUCCUCAGCUGCUUCAUCAUUACCUAUUGUGAGGCAUUUCCAAAAAAAGAGCAUUUCACUGCGUGGGUCAGGAAUAAGUCCUGUGGUACGGACAAAAGGUGCUGAUGCUCCAUUACACAGACUUGUGCUAGCCGAGGAGCACGCCUGUCUGCACCUCAGGUGUCUUCCAGCAGCUCAGCACCUGCCCAGGUGAAAAAGAGCAAGAAUGAUGGGGCAGGCUCGCUCCCGCUGCCAUCACUCAGAGCAAAGUUCCCCGCUGUGGUGCUGAGAGCCUCAGAGAAAAAAAGCCCUCUCUGCUGAAGCUGUAAUUACGCAAAUCCCUCAGACGAGUUUGUGUCAAAACCAUUGGUCAAGAAACAGUAUUAAUGAGACCUAAUCCACACUUCGGAGGCACCAGAACAUAACACUGCGGCUCAGGGGGUUUAAGGCAGCAGAGUGCACGGCUCAGCAAGGCUUCCUUAAUUUUAUCCCUGCGAUUUGGAGGCUUGUAUCUGCGGAGAAAAAGAAGAGGGAAGAAAACAAAGAAAAAAAACUCAGCAGCUUUAUGAAUUUAACCCUUCCAGAUGUGGCUGGCACACUGAGCUGGCUGGGAGGUUACAAACUGCUGUGGCUGAGCCUAGCCAAAUGCAAGUGCUCUCUGGAAGUUGGUGCCUUUGCAAAGAAUUGUUGAACUAUCACUGAGGUGCUAAACAGGCUAACUGCAAACACAUCUAUUUGCUUCUCCCGGAGCAGGCAGACACCUGGAAACUGCACUGGCGAAGGACUAAAUAAAUUACCUGGGUUAUUUACUGCA